AGGGGGGNCCCCUGCACAGAUACAUACCACUNCAGAUGNGAAAGNAUGGGGAGCAACAGGAUUAGAUACCCUGUUAGUUCCACGCCGUAANCGAUGUCUANUUGGAGGUUGUGGCCCNUGAAGCCGUGGCUUUCGGAGCUAACGCGUUAAGUAGACCGCCUGGGGAGUACGGUCGCAAGAUUAAAACUCAAAUGAAUUGACGGGGGCCCGCACAAGCGGUGGAGCAUGUGGUUUAAUUCGAUGCAACGCGAAGAACCUUACCUACUCUUGACAUCUACAGAAGCCAGCGGAGACGCAGGUGUGCCUUCGGGAACUGUAAGACAGGUGCUGCAUGGCUGUCGUCAGCUCGUGUUGUGAAAUGUUGGGUUAAGUCCCGCAACGAGCGCAACCCUUAUCCUUGUUUGCCAGCACUUCGGGUGGGAACUCCAGGGAGACUGCCGGUGAUAAACCGGAGGAAGGUGGGGACGACGUCAAGUCAUCAUGGCCCUUACGAGUAGGGCUACACACGUGCUACAAUGGCGCAUACAGAGGGCGGCCAACUUGCGAAAGUGAGCGAAUCCCAAAAAGUGCGUCGUAGUCCGGAUUGGAGUCUGCAACUCGACUCCAUGAAGUCGGAAUCGCUAGUAAUCGUGGAUCAGAAUGCCACGGUGAAUACGUUCCCGGGCCUUGUACACACCGCCCGUCACACCAUGGGAGUGGGCUGCAAAAGAAGUGGGUAGUUUAACCUUCGGGAGGACGCUCACCACUUUGUGGUUCAUGACUGGGGUGAAGUCGUAACAAGGUAACCG
This 788-nucleotide ribosomal RNA is filed under the name uncultured bacterium. RNAcentral describes it as "bacterial SSU rRNA". It matches the Rfam family "Bacterial small subunit ribosomal RNA", at positions 718 to 1502 of the family's 1533-position model. The record is from RNAcentral.